Molecule: RNA transcript, 2219 nt
Organism: Poecilia reticulata (guppy)
Lineage: Eukaryota; Metazoa; Chordata; Actinopteri; Cyprinodontiformes; Poeciliidae
Gene: zmynd10
Gene name: zinc finger, MYND-type containing 10
Source: RefSeq, a predicted model, not a curated record
AACUUCGCCUUCCUUCUUGUGCUCGGGUAUCAAAUGAUUGACUGUGAUUGGCUGCAAUACAACUAAGACGCCGUUGCCUAACAACGUACCAACCAAUCAAAUCGUCAGCAUUCUAUAAAACCCACCAGCAUAACUUAUGUCUAUGAGAAAAAGUUCCAGCUUGUGAUUUACAUGAUAAUCUGGCGCCCCUUAGUGGCCACCACUGCAAACUGUACUUGGUGUACGGUUACCUUGACAACUACCUGUAUCUCUUUCCCAGUUGCUGGUCACUUCUAAAGAAAUUUACUGAAGUAGCUGCAAAUAUUAUAUAUUUACCGACAUUUUGCGGGAUAAUCAAGACUAUUAAAAUGGAUACAUCGGUAGUGCUGCCGGUUGAAGCUGAGGGGUUUAUUCAAAGUCUGGAAACAUUUUCCCUCAAAGAAGUGGGCUCUGUGAGGUGGUUCAGACAGCAUGAGUUUAUUGAAAAGCUAAACAUGCAGGCCAUCCUGAAUGCUUCGGCCAUGCAUGAUGAGUUUGUCAAGGAGCUCCUGGUGUCCUUUGGAAAGAUACCAGUUCUGGUCCAUGAGAUGAUCCUUGUGGAGGUGUGGAAGCAGAAAGUGUUUCCCAUCUUAUGCCAGCUGCAGGACUUCAACCCUAAGAACACGUUUCAUCUUUACAUGGUGAUCCACCAUGAAGCCACAAUUAUUAACCUGCUUGAAACAAUAUUGUUUCAUAAGGAUUCCUGUGAGGCAGCUGAUGAUUCUCUCCUUGACUUGGUGGAUUACUGUCAUCGUAAACUGACCCUGCUGGCCAGUGAAGCAACCAAGUCCCAUGCUGCUGCUGCUCAUGAUCAUCAGAACCAGAUAUCCUCUCUAGAGGAGCUGCAGAUGCAGAGUGCUGCACUGGAGUUUGACAUCUCCCUGAAAGCGAUAUCUGUGCUGAGCUACAUCGCAGAUCAUACCGACAGCAUCAGCGUCAUCAACCGUAUGCUUUGCACACACAACAUGCCCUGUGUGCUGGUUCGGCUGGUCGAGUCCUGCCCCUGGAGUCGGAGCAACAAAGGCCAAGUAGAAAAGUACAAGAAUGGCAAAUGGCAGAGGAUUCCUGCAGAGGACCAUGUGAAGAUGACUAAAGUUGACGGCCAGGUCUGGCUGGCGCUUUACAGUUUGAUCCUGAAGGAGGAGUGCCAAAGAAAAUACGACUUCAACAAUUUCAACAAGAACCAACUCCUAAAGCUCAGGCGUUUCCUGACAGACGUGCUGAUCGAUCAGUUACCGAACCUGGUUGAGCUCCAGCGCUUCCUGGCCCAUUUGGCUGUGACAGAUCCAGCCCCACCAAAGAGAGACCUGGUUCUGGAGCAGAUCCCAGAGAUGUGGAACCAGAUUAUCAGAGAGAAUUCUGGGAAGUGGAAAGGAAUAGCUAAAUAUCAGGUUAAAGAAUCAUUCAGCCCGUCUGACAGCGACUUGCAGCGACAGGCCCAGAGGUUGGCGCAGACUUACAGCCUGGAUGUGAUGGAGCGUUUGCUCCCGGAGAAACCAAAGUGUGGAUGCUGCGGGAAGGAGGCUCCAAAAAGAUGCUCUGGAUGCCAGGGAGAGUGGUACUGCAGCAGACAGUGUCAGGUGAAGCACUGGCCUAAACACAAGCAGGCCUGUCAGCUCAUGACUGAGACCAUGCAGAAGAUCCAGGAAGACAAACAGCUCGGAUAAUUUAACCGACUAACGUUUAAAGCUAGGAAACAAACCCGCUUUUAUUUGUGUGACACUGAAUCCCAACAUUUUAGAAAACUUUCUAAACUUCCUUGCUGGCUCACCUUAACGGCCGUUUCCAAUCUGAUCAUCAGCAGCAGCACAUCGCUGGAGGUCAGGAAAAGACAGGAUGGACGGAUGUUUGAAACAGUUUUUUAAGGCUCCAGGAUUUUCAGACUUGAAAUCAAAUUCAUCAUUCGAGCGAAAAUAAAGUUGUCCCCAAUGUUUAACUUUAUCUUCAAGGUUUAACAUCCAGAGCUGUGCAGAUCAUUACCAACUUCAGCUGUGAUCUCCACAGAAACAGAGACGCUCAGCCUUCAGCGAAACCACCAGUCAGAUCCACUUUUCUGUCUGCAUCCCGGGACGAUUACAGCCAAUUUAUAUCCGAGGAACUGAGCCCAACAUUGUCUCAGUUCCUCUUUUUUGGAGAAAAAGAGAAUAAAAUGAGCCAGCAGGGAUUAGGACGAGAUGAAGCAGUAAAAGUACUUCACUAGA